Long non-coding RNA from Xenia sp. Carnegie-2017, 469 nucleotides. RefSeq lists it as uncharacterized. The record is from RefSeq and is a predicted model, not a curated record. NCBI's taxonomy places the organism in Eukaryota, Metazoa, Cnidaria, Anthozoa, Malacalcyonacea, Xeniidae. The transcript is spliced from 3 exons.
GAACCACUCAAACAAAAGUGCAAAAUAUGACAAGUAGAGGUACGGAGGUUGAGUUCAUUUCAACAUAAAAUCGCAGCACACAGACGACGUCAUGUGAUAUUGAACAUUUUGAGGAUAGCGCUGUAUGGUCUGAUACAGAAAGCACGUCGACGAUGAGCAAUAGCAACAAUGGAUCAGACUCUCAAUGUUGAAAUGAGUUAAGCGAAAAUGAAGAAUCCGACAAUGACAAUGCAACGGAAGACGUUCAAAAUGAGAGAAAAUACAUAGUGUUUGAUAGUUGCCUGAGACAGUUAGUGAGUCAAUGCCCAUGUUGUGGUGAAAGCUGUUCCAUUGUGACGAAAACGACUAGUAGUAUGGUUAACGUACUAGCAAAAUGUCAUUGUGGUUAUGUUCGAGACUAGAAUAGCCAACCUCUGCAUGAGCGAAUGCCUUUGGGUAACUUCGUCUUUGCUGCCAGCAUUUUGUUUAG